Molecule: ribosomal RNA, 440 nt
Filed under: uncultured bacterium
Lineage: Bacteria
Description: partial 16S ribosomal RNA
Rfam family: Bacterial small subunit ribosomal RNA
Source: RNAcentral
CCUACGGGUGGCAGCAGUGGGGAAUAUUGGACAAUGGGGGGAACCCUGAUCCAGCGACGCCGCGUGAGUGAUGAAGUAUUUCGGUAUGUAAAGCUCUAUCAGCAGGGAAGAAAAUGACGGUACCUGAAUAAUAAGCCCCUGCUAACUACGUGCCAGCAGCCGCGGUAAUACGUAGGGGGCAAGCGUUAUCCGGAUUUACUGGGUGUAAAGGUAGCGUAGACGGGUCAGCAAGUCUGAUGUGAAAGUUCGGGGCCUAACCCCGGGACUGCAAUGGAAACUGGUGAACUGGAGUACAGGAGAGGUAAGCGGAAUUCCUAGUGUAGCGGUGAAAUGCGUAGAUAUAAGGAGGAACACCAGUGGCGAAGGCGGCUUACUGGACUGUAACUGACGUUGAGGCUCGAAAGCGUGGGGAGCAAACAGGAUUAGAUACCCUGGUAGUC